RNAcentral lists this ribosomal RNA (437 nucleotides) under uncultured bacterium. RNAcentral's name for it is "bacterial SSU rRNA". It matches the Rfam family "Bacterial small subunit ribosomal RNA", at positions 954 to 1392 of the family's 1533-position model. The record is from RNAcentral.
GCUAAACGCGAAGAACCUUACCAAGGCUUAAAUGGGAAACGACGGAUCUGGAAACAGGUCUUCCUUCGGGCGUUUUUCAAGGUGCUGCAUGGUUGUCGUCAGCUCGUGCCGUGAGGUGUCAGGUUAAGUCCUAUAACGAGCGCAACCCCUGUUGUUAGUUGCCAGCGAGUCAAGUCGGGAACGUCUAGCAAGACUGCCGGUGCAAACCGUGAGGAAGGUGGGGAUGACGUCAAAUCAUCACGGCCCUUACGCCUUGGGCUACACACGUGCUACAAUGGACGGUACAGAGAGCAGCCAGUGGGUGACCACGAGCGAAUCUACAAAACCGUUCUCAGUUCGGAUCGGAGUCCGCAACUCGACUCCGUGAAGCUGGAAUCGCUAGUAAUCGGAUAUCAGCCAUGAUCCGGUGAAUACGUUCCCGGGUCUUGUACACACCG